RNAcentral lists this transfer RNA (62 nucleotides) under Chondrodactylus laevigatus (Fischer's thick-toed gecko). RNAcentral describes it as "tRNA-Trp". Lineage: Eukaryota; Metazoa; Chordata; Lepidosauria; Squamata; Gekkonidae. The record is from RNAcentral.
GAAAUUAGGUUAUUUUUAAACCAGGGACCUUCAAAGUCCCAAAUAGGAGCUCUUAAUUUCCG